Molecule: non-coding RNA, 1104 nt
Organism: Paramuricea clavata
Lineage: Eukaryota; Metazoa; Cnidaria; Anthozoa; Malacalcyonacea; Plexauridae
Source: the annotation of a GenBank genome assembly
CGAAAUGUAAAGGGUAUACCCUUACUUUUUUGCUGUUUUUUGCCCAUUUACGAAAAAUGGGAAAAGUCGCUAAAAAUGGACGAAAAGUAAAGGCAAUAGCCUUGAAGUGGUUUAAGCCAGUUUUCCACAUCAAUCGAAACGCAUAGCGUAUUUAAUUGUUGUAUGAGCGUAGUGUGGAACUAAUGACUUCGACACAAAAGAGGCUUUAGUUUUUAGCUAUUUAAUAGUAAAGCAGUCGCAGACAUGUGCCGAAUUUUUAUAUGAACACAAACGCAGAUUCGCGCAGACUGUCUGAGACCGGAUCGGCGAUGGAUCGGGAAAGUUGAACUUGGUUCAACUUUCUCGAUCCGUCGCAGAUCGUUCAUAUAAAAAUUCGGCACAUGUCUGCAACAGUCUGCGACUGCUUAACGAUUUUAUGUGAACCAGGCUUAAAGCAAAUGAUCAUGGCGUUUACUUUUUUAACAAAAACAUUUUUACAGAACAAAUUAAAUCAUGAAUGAAAAAUCCGCAAUCUUGAAAUUAUUUUUGAGUCACUAUUUCAAAUGACAAUUUCACUGACAAACAUUGUAAGCUUGUACCAAAUGGACAACUUGGCAACUUGCAUGUUAGACUAAAUUUUAAUCUAAAUAAAGCGAUGGGAAUCAAACACCACAGCUUAGAACACUUAUUAAAGUUGCAAAAUUUGUUUCCGAAAUGUGGUAAAACUCGGAAAAUAUAGCCUUGCAAAGUUUCCAAAUUUUGUAUAUGUUUGUAUUGCGGAAAUAAAUGGUAACAAUUUCCGCAUGUAAUACAAAGUACAGUAUACCAAAAGCAUAAAAUUAAAUAGUUGGGUUCAAUACCACAUGAUACUACAGUACCUUUUGCUUUGCCUGUGAGCACAAGCAUUACUAUUUUCGCUCUAUUUCCUUCUCUUUUUCUUCAUAUUUGAAACAGUUUUGUUUUUUUUGCUGGGCACUUGAACUUCGUUGUCUUCAUCAUUAUCUUGACGAGGGCGUUUCCUUUUAUCUUCCAUUUCUCGCAUUUCCUACAAAUUUGAAAUUUGCAAUAAUCGUCUGCAUUGAACUCUAACAUUUUUGCAACUUGCACUUUUUGGGGCACUCGGAC